This is a long non-coding RNA of Thalassophryne amazonica, 169 nucleotides long. RefSeq lists it as uncharacterized. NCBI's taxonomy places the organism in Eukaryota, Metazoa, Chordata, Actinopteri, Batrachoidiformes, Batrachoididae. The transcript is spliced from 3 exons. The record is from RefSeq and is a predicted model, not a curated record.
ACACCACGCUCUUCUGACCAGGCCAGUCUUCUGCAGAGGUGCCGCAGACUAAUUUUGAAAUUAUCCCUUAUUAAAAGACUUAAUGCAAUCUCUGCCUGUGUCAACCCCUGAUCAAAAUAUUGCCUUAUUAGGUGAUCGAUUAUUCCAGACAUUCUAAAGACCAGCGUUG